AUUGACAAUGAAAAUAUCCUAUUUAAAAGCUCCCACCUUAAGGUACCCUAGGUACUACCUUAGCUAAACAUGAACUCAACCUCUCCCAAGCCUUGGGUCUUCCUUUGUGACCCUUAGAGCAUCCCAUUAUGUGGUUCUCUUGAGUGCUCAGGUGGUCCACCAAUGGUUUUUUGGGACUGUACCUUAGGUACACCUUAAUGACCUUUAAGUAUUACCUUAAGAGACCCUAGGUACUACCUUAACUAAACUUGAACUCAACCUCUCCCAAGCCUCGGGCUUUCCUUUGUGAGCCUUAGAGCAUCUCAUUAUGUGGUUCUCUUGAGUGCUCAAGUGGUCCACCAAAGGUUUUUUGCAAUUGUACCUUAGGUACUACCUUAAGAGCCCUUAGGUACUACCUUAAUGGCCUUUAGGUACUACCUUAAGGGACCCUAGGUACUACCUUAGCUAAACAUGAACUCAACCUCUCCCAAGCCUCGGGUCUUCCUUUGUGACCCUUAGAGCAUCCCAUUAUGCGGUUCUCUUGAGUGCUCAAGAGGUUCAUCAAAGGUUUUUUGGGACUGUACCUUAAGUACUAC
This 575-nucleotide long non-coding RNA is filed under the name Vitis vinifera (wine grape). Its description in RNAcentral is "long non-coding RNA (VVIN_LNC008003)". The record is from RNAcentral. Lineage: Eukaryota; Viridiplantae; Streptophyta; Magnoliopsida; Vitales; Vitaceae.